Molecule: ribosomal RNA, 470 nt
Filed under: uncultured Gammaproteobacteria bacterium
Lineage: Bacteria; Pseudomonadati; Pseudomonadota; Gammaproteobacteria
Description: bacterial SSU rRNA
Rfam family: Bacterial small subunit ribosomal RNA
Source: RNAcentral
UGAACGCUGGCGGCAGGCCUAACACAUGCAAGUCGAACGGUAACAUUUCUAGCUUGCUAGAAGAUGACGAGUGGCGGACGGGUGAGUAAUGCUUGGGAACUUGCCUUUGCGAGGGGGAUAACAGUUGGAAACGACUGCUAAUACCGCAUAAUGUCUUCGGACCAAACGGGGCUUCGGCUCCGGCGCAAAGAGAGGCCCAAGUGAGAUUAGCUAGUUGGUAAGGUAACGGCUUACCAAGGCGACGAUCUCUAGCUGUUCUGAGAGGAAGAUCAGCCACACUGGGACUGAGACACGGCCCAGACUCCUACGGGAGGCAGCAGUGGGGAAUAUUGCACAAUGGGGGAAACCCUGAUGCAGCCAUGCCGCGUGUGUGAAGAAGGCCUUCGGGUUGUAAAGCACUUUCAGUUGUGAGGAAAAGUUAGUAGUUAAUACCUGCUAGCCGUGACGUUAACAACAGAAGAAGCACCGGC